Molecule: small nucleolar RNA, 184 nt
Filed under: Komagataella phaffii GS115
Lineage: Eukaryota; Fungi; Ascomycota; Pichiomycetes; Pichiales; Pichiaceae
Description: small nucleolar RNA snR43
Source: RNAcentral
CACUCCAUUUAAGCCUCUGGUCUCUUAUGUUUCGGUGGGAUUAUGAGUCCUGAGAUGGAGAAGAUUAAGCCAGUGGUUGAAAGUCAUCUUUUUACCUCGAUGCACUUUCAUAUCGCUGGAUCGUGAACCAGGCAAUCAAUUCAGUUGGACUGUUCCUCUUGGCUGAUUGUAUGGAGCUACAAUU